AACGAACGCUGGCGGCAUGCCUAACACAUGCAAGUCGAACGAGCCCUUCGGGUCUAGUGGCGCAUGGGUGCGUAACGCGUCGGAACCUGCCCUCAGGUUCGGAAUAACUCCCCGAAAGGGGUGCUAAUACCGGAUAAUGUCUUCGGACCAAACAUUUAUCGCCGUUGGAUGAGCCCGCGUGGGAUUAGCUCGUUGUUAGGGUAAAAGCUUACCCAGGGGAAGAUCCAUAGCUGGUCCGAGAGGAUGCUCAGCCACGCGGGGAGUAAGACACGGCCCGGAAUCCUACGGGAUGCAGCAGUGGGGAAUAUUGGACAAUGGGCGAAAGGCUGAUCCAGCAAUGCCGGGUGAGUGAUGAAGACCUUAGGGUUGUAAAGCUCUUUUAACCGGGAUGAUAAUGACAGUACCGGGAGAAUAAGCUCCGGCUAACUCCGUG
This 433-nucleotide ribosomal RNA is filed under the name uncultured bacterium. RNAcentral's name for it is "partial 16S ribosomal RNA". It matches the Rfam family "Bacterial small subunit ribosomal RNA", at positions 29 to 507 of the family's 1533-position model. The record is from RNAcentral.